UAACGGCUCACCAAGGCUACGAUGUCUAGGGGGUCUGAGAGGAUGAUCCCCCACACUGGUACUGAGACACGGACCAGACUCCUACGGGAGGCAGCAGUGAGGAAUAUUGGGCAAUGGGCGCAAGUCUGACCCAGCCAUGCCGCGUGCAGGAUUGAAGGCCCUAUGGGUUGUAAACUGCUUUUGUACGGGAAGAAACCCCUGCUCGUGAGCAGGGCUGACGGUACCGUAAGAAUAAGCAUCGGCUAACUCCGUGCCAGCAGCCGCGGUAAUACGGAGGACGCAAGCGUUAUCCGGAUUUAUUGGGUUUAAAGGGUGCGUAGGCGGACUAAUAAGUCAGUGGUGAAAUCUUGCGGCUCAACCGUAAUAUUGCCAUUGAUACUGUUAGUCUUGAAUGCAGUUGAGGUAGGCGGAAUGUGUAAUGUAGCGGUGAAAUGCUUAGAUAUUACACAGAACACCGAUUGCGAAGGCAGCUUGCUAAACUGUGAUUGACGCUGAUGCACGAAAGCGUGGGGAUCAAACAGGAUUAGAUACCCUGGUAGUCCACGCUGUAAACGAUGAUCACUCGUUGUUUGCGAUAUAUUGCAAGCGACUGAGCGAAAGCAUUAAGUGAUCCACCUGGGGAGUACGUUCGCAAGAAUGAAACUCAAAGGAAUUGACGGGGGCCCGCACAAGCGGAGGAACAUGUGGUUUAAUUCGAUGAUACGCGAGGAACCUUACCUGGGUUUAAAUGUAGGUUGCAUGGGGGGGAAACUUCCCUUUCCUUCGGGACUACUUACAGUGCUGCAUGUUGUCGUCAGCUCGUGCCG
This 806-nucleotide ribosomal RNA is filed under the name uncultured bacterium. RNAcentral's name for it is "bacterial SSU rRNA". It matches the Rfam family "Bacterial small subunit ribosomal RNA", at positions 258 to 1067 of the family's 1533-position model. The record is from RNAcentral.